This is a long non-coding RNA of Sorex araneus (European shrew), 1054 nucleotides long. RefSeq lists it as uncharacterized. The transcript has 3 exons. The record is from RefSeq and is a predicted model, not a curated record. NCBI's taxonomy places the organism in Eukaryota, Metazoa, Chordata, Mammalia, Eulipotyphla, Soricidae.
UAUGUGCCAACAAAAGAACAAAGUGUCCCCUCUCGGCAGACUCAACCGUGGAUUAAAUAUGAACACAGGAACCAAACAAAGGAAGAACUUUACAGACCAGAUGAUGACUCCAUACUGCAUUCUUACUUGGAAGUAGAAAUUUUUGGCUGUAGGGAAUCAAGCCACACUGAAUAUUCGCGUACACACUGAGUGGACAGAAGUUUCUAAUUUUCUCAAGAAAUUCAUGGUUGAAAGUCGUUCUAAACACGGCAACCCAGAACCCACGAGAACAGGCAUAGUUUGAGAUGGACGGUCAAGAGUGCUCUCGGGAAGAGACGUUCUGUUUGGUCGGACGAAGACCGUGGGCCGAGAAACGUCAGAAGCUGGUCUGUGGGCCUCCUGUCUUAUCUUCUACCUCAGUUUCCCCCUUGGCUGCCCACCCGGAUCCUUCCUGCCCACCUGGAUUGUGCACCCAUUCAAUUCUCUGAAUCGUGUUCAGAUUCGUUCAAGCAAUACCCACCCAGUUGAUAUUAAUAUCAAUUGAAUGUGAAUCUGAAGCUCCAACGUGACUUGGCCCCCCACGAGUCUCCUUGGGACUAUUCUGUAGAAGACAAGAAGGGGUGAGACCGGAAGCCUUCAGUCGACUGGGUGCAGGUGAGGGUCUCCACGGCCUCCCUGCAGGUAUGAGCAGGAGUGGACGGACUUGUCCCCGAAGUGCGUGGCUUGUUGUCUGCCCAGAGGACUGAGAGUCCGGCUUGCUCGAGCAGGCCUUUGAUCCCAGGUGCCUUCGAGAAGCAGUGCUCUCAAUAAACUUGGCUUUGCACCCACGGUGGACCCAAGGCUCCUUGCCCCUGGGUUCUCAGCUCUCUGGUGGUGAGGGGGGUGGGGGGGAUGGUGAGAUCACCACACUGUCCAUAAACAAAUGUGAGACCAUCACACUGUCCAUGAGCAAGUGUAUUUCAGCAGCGAAGGACUGAGAUAUUAUUACGUGAAAAAUAACAUUCCUCACCUCCUACUCCAGAGGUUUCUGCCUCCAGGCCAGACUUUCCCGAAGAUGUGGGGGACGCUGACCACC